UUGUCUGGCCACGGUCUGGUUUUUGUUUGUCUUCAUGUAUAUUCUCUGUAUGGUUCAGACCGAUGGGGCAGCAGCAGCAACACUAGAUAAUGGCUUUUUGUUUUUUUGCUUGUGGUUGUUUGUUUGUUUGUUUGUUUUGCCUUUUUCUCAGAGAAUCAUCACAGCAUGAAGAUAAAACCAAUUUGUGCUUAUAUUAAGAUACCAUUGGCUAAAUGAAGUCACAUGGUUAAGUUCAGAGUUGUUGGGGACAUCUAGUAUAUCCUUCUCUCAGUGGGGAGGGAAUCAACAGUACAUAAUAAAAUACUAUGUGUUAUCCAAGCCUCAUCACAUCUGUUCGUUCACUCACUGCCUACAGUACAACAGAGGGGCUAAAACAGGCAGACGGGAGAAAGCAAGAACAGAAACAAAAAGGAAUCUGCCUAUGUCUUAAAUCUGCCCCCCAAAGGCUUAUGUUUUAAAGUCUUAGUUGUCUAUAUGACAGUUUGGGGAGGGGUGAGUGUGGAGAAAGUGAAGGUGUUUGGGUCUGGCGGCCUCGCCCUGGGAAUGGACUAGUGUCUUCCCUGAGCUCCUAUGAUCACGGACUAGACUUGAUAUGCACAUGAGAAGUCUUGUAAAGCAAGGCUGCAGUUGUGUUCUCUGUGCUGUACGAGCCUGUGCUUCCCUUUCCACACAGCCGCCAGUCCUGAGCUCCCAGGCUCUGCAGCCAUGACCCAAACGAACCUCUUCCUUUAUAGGUUACCCUCUCGCUCUGAUCAUUUUAGCAAAAGUAGCCUGUAACAAACCUGGGUGAAACUGAGGAGGUAUGGAUAAUGAACAUAAGAGAAUCUAUGAAACACUGUACUUUCUAAUAGAUAUUUUAUAUGAAAAAUAAACAUAGAUGUUAUAUAAAAGUGUAAGGGCAUGCAGGAACUAACGGACAGGAAUAAAGACACAACAUAUUGUUUUCUUAAUUUCCAUAGAAGAGGUAACUCUAGGUGCUAGACUCUGAGGAGAAGAUAUUAGUAAUUUAGGUAACCUGUUCAGUAGAUAGCAUGGUCAGUGAUGGUGCCAGGGCUAUCUAGAAAAUACAAAGUGUCUGGCAUUAAAACAUUUAAAAUAGCCAUUCAAGGUAGUGUCACCAAACUAAAAGCCAAACCUUAGACAAGCCUCCCUAUUGAAAGGGGUCACUGCGCACAAGGACACAAAGAAUGAAAAUGUAUUCUCUGAGGUUAUGCUCUCAUUAAACUGCAAAGUGACUGGGAAACAGUGCUGUAAGUUUCCAGGAAAGGAAAAAGCAAAUUCCAGAGCAAUUAUUAGAAAUCAGAUAGGCUCUUCAGUGGUGUCCUAAGAUCCUAAGAUGACAGCGCAGAUUCUCUACUAUUCUGAGGGAAGAGAGUCUUCAAAGUCGGAGGUUGUCAUGCACAGACAAACCUCCAGUUUAUCUGUAAGCAGCUGUCUAAGGACACACACACACACACACACACACACACCACACUGUUGUGUUUUUUAAGUUUCCUGUCUUAGGAAAAGUAGUAACUCUUUAUUGAGAGGAGGGGAGCCUUGCUGGCCUUGACUUUAUAGAGUGCUCAGAUUAACCACAUAUUCUACUAUGCCUGACCAACAAGCACCUCUUAAGGUGCAUUAGGGAUGGCAUAAAGAAUUGAUAUAAGACAGAUAAAAGGGUCAGAAGUAAGUUAAAAUAUAUAAUUUGAUAUUUCAGUAUUCAAAAAUGUUAUUAGUUGACUAUUUGACUAUUAAUGUUUAAUACUUAUGGAGACAUAUCAGUUAUUUAGAAAAAUAAAUUAUUUUAAGUGGGCAACCAGAGUGAAGUUAUACACUUUUUUUCCCUGGUAUUUAUGUGCUAGUGACAGGGAGGGCCAUUUGCAUCUUAGAAUUUGAAGCCAGCCUUCACAACACAGACCCAGCUCAAAAGCAAGCAAGCUAUGCUCCCCGUAUACAAUAAGAGGCUAUUAAUCCCCAAAUAAAUAAAAUAUUAAUGAAGAAAAUUAACAAAAAAUAAUGUUUGUCUCAGUAGAGGAAAAAUUUUUAUUAUGAUGUGAUCAAUCACUAAUGUAUCAGUAAUGAAUACUGAUUCAUAGCUAGACUUAUCUGAGGGUUUGAGUUGGAUCUUUAGAAUGAUGUAUAGGCUAUCAGAAUUCCUACACAUGAGUGGUCCUCCUGCCUCAGCUUCCUAAGUAGCUAGGACUGUAGCUACAUGCCAGCUACUAUGUUGCCUAGCAAAGAGAGGAUAGCUAAUUUUUUAUAUUAUAAAUCAAGACAUAGUAAUAUGCCAUUUAAAAUAAGAAUAUAGAAGCUACAGAGAUGACUCAGAGGUUAAGAGCACUUACUGCUCUUGGAGAGGACAUGAGUUCAAUUCCCAGCACCCACAUAUAACUCCAGUUGUACGGGAUCAGAUGUCUUUGUUCCUCUGCAGUCACCAGGUAGACAUACAAGCAAAAUACUCAGACACCUUUCU
RNAcentral lists this long non-coding RNA (2455 nucleotides) under Mus musculus (house mouse). Its description in RNAcentral is "long non-coding RNA chr1:176913211-176915666". The record is from RNAcentral. Lineage: Eukaryota; Metazoa; Chordata; Mammalia; Rodentia; Muridae.